Molecule: ribosomal RNA, 1523 nt
Filed under: Dinophyceae sp.
Lineage: Eukaryota; Dinophyceae
Description: partial large subunit ribosomal RNA
Rfam family: Eukaryotic large subunit ribosomal RNA
Source: RNAcentral
ACCCGCUGAAUUUAAGCAUAUAGGUAGGCGGAGGAAAUCAAACCAAAUGGAAUUUCUUAAGUAAUUGCGAACGAACAUGAAUUUGCUCAUUUUGGGAAUUGGGGCCCAUGGCCUUGAAAUGUAAUAUUGAAAUGCCUUGCCAAUGGAGGUCCAGGUGAGUGCCUCUGGAAAAAGAGCAGCAAUGAGGGUGAAAUUCCUGUUUGCCAUCUGCAGUCCCCUGUGUACUGUGCGCAGUUUUGGAUUCACGCUCUUUGGGAUUGGAGUGCAAAGUGGGUGGUAAGUUUCAUGUAAAGGUAAAUACAAGAUUGAGACCGAUAGCAAACAAGUACCUUGAGGGAAAAAUGAAAAGGACUUUGAAAAGAGAGUUAAAAGAGUCUGAAUUUGCUGAAUGGAAAGCAAACAGAACAAAUUGUGUUGGGUAAGACUGCUGGUUGUUGUUGGCAUUGCUGCUUUCCAUAUGCAAGUGUGGACUGUUGCUUGUGACCAAAAUAAUAACAGUGGUUCUUGCCUUCAGUGUCAGCUUCAAUUUGCGAAUUGGUAUUUUAUUUGGAAUCGUGAUUUGCUUGCGGGUGUGAUUGUGUUUUCAUUUGCGAUUGUUUGCAAUUUGAAAUAUCUGUCUGGUGUUUGCCAAUUCAUUUUGGAUUUGUUUUAUACAAACCGUCUCCGGUUUGAGCAAACAAUUGUGCCCCUGAUACAACAGUGCUGACGACAUGUUUCUGCUUGACCCGUCUUGAAACACGGACCAAGGAGUCUAACAGAUGUGCAAGUUCUUGGGUGGGUAAACCUGUCUGCGCAAUGAAAGUAUUAGCUUGAAUUCUUGCACCAGCAACCAACCGACUUACAGAAACAGGUUUGAGUUUGAGUAUGUCUGUUAAGACCCGAAAGAUGGUGAACUAUGCCUGAAGAGGGUAAGUUCAGGGGAAACUCUGAUGGAGGCUCAUAGCGAUACUGACGUGCAAAUCGUUCGUCACAUUUGGGUAUAGGGGCGAAAGACUAAUCGAACCAUCUAGUAGCUGGUUCCCUCCGAAGUUUCCCUCAGGAUAGCUGGAUUUCUGUAGUUUUAUCAGGUAAAGCGAAUGAUUAGAGGAAUUGGGGAUGUGUUGUCCUUGACCUAUGCUCAAACUUUAAAUGGGUAAGAUGCAGUGGUUGCUUUUGUGAACUUUUGGGACAAAUUGAAUUUCCAAGUGGGCCAUUUUUGGUAAGCAGAACUGGCGAUGAGGGAUGAACCUAACGUGGGGCUAAGGUGCUCAACUGCUUGCUCAUCAGAUACCAUAAAGGGUGUUGUUUCAUUUAAACAGCUGGACGGUGGUCAUGGAAGUUGAAAUCCGCUAAGGAGUGUGUAACAACUCACCUGCCGAAUGGACUAGCCCCGAAAAUGGAUGGCGCUUAAGCGGGCGACCGAUACCCUACCAAUGAUGCAAGCUUUAUGCAUCAGUGCGUAGGAGGGCAUGGGGGUUUGUAGUGCAGCUUCUGGUGUGAACCUGGGUGAAACAGCUCCUAGUGCAGAUCUUGGUGGUAGUAGC